This 229-nucleotide long non-coding RNA is filed under the name Setaria viridis. RNAcentral describes it as "long non-coding RNA (SVIR_LNC010090)". Lineage: Eukaryota; Viridiplantae; Streptophyta; Magnoliopsida; Poales; Poaceae. The record is from RNAcentral.
CACCAGGAAGGCUUGGAUGGGAAAGGUCGUAACAUGUAUCCAGCAACGAUCUGGCUCCGUGACCGGACGUUGAGGCGCCGGUUGAGGAUUGGGCCGGUGUUGGGGAUCACGAAAAACUGUCGUUCUCUCGCAAAUUCAGGAUCAAGAAACAAAACUUAGUUAACCUCGUAAGAAGAACUUAGUUAACCUCGUAACUUCUUACGAAAACUAUUAUGGUAGUAAAACUUGU